This 253-nucleotide ribosomal RNA is filed under the name uncultured bacterium. RNAcentral's name for it is "partial 16S ribosomal RNA". It matches the Rfam family "Bacterial small subunit ribosomal RNA", at positions 524 to 776 of the family's 1533-position model. The record is from RNAcentral.
UACAGGGGGGGCAAGCGUUGUUCGGAAUUACUGGGCGUAAAGGGCUCGUAGGCGGCCGGCUAAGUCCGACGUGAAAUCCCCAGGCUUAACCUGGGAACUGCGUCGGAUACUGGCGGGCUUGAAUCCGGGAGAGGGAUGCGGAAUUCCAGGUGUAGCGGUGAAAUGCGUAGAUAUUGGGAGGAACACCGGCGGCGAAAGCGGUUCCCUGGAUCGAUACUGACGCUAAGACGCGAAAGCGUGGGGAUCAAACAGG